UGAAGCUAGAUUGCUAGACUUUGGUGGGUUUUAUGACAGGGGUGCUCAUGCGGUUUUGAUUUUUGUUACUUUGAACUUUCCCCUUCGGAAAUCAUUACCAUUUUCCCUUGAGGUCCAAAUUAUGCACAAUAAUGAAGCCCUGUUGUGAUUACUCUAAUAAUUAGGCAGUGUUAGCUUGCCGAUAGCCUAAGAGGUGAUGGUUGUUGAAGCCUGAAGGCGGCGACUAUACCUUUGGCUGUCUGGAAUUAUCUGUCAUCGUUUCUAAUUCUCCACCAGCACAUCCCACUACCCUGUCCUUAGUGACCUUUUCAUUCAGAGGCAGUGGUCCGCCACUAGUAGAGCUCUCCCCGUUCGAUGGCUAGGGUUGACUUGGAUCUUGGGACCAAAGCUGGGUAAUUUCUUACCACUUGGACAGUUAACCAUGGUGCAGGGACAGUCUUUUCUUCAUUGGUUUUCUCCACCAAAGAAAUAAAAAAAGAAAACGGGAGAGUAUCCUUUCUUUGCAACUAGACCGAACCUUUAGGGUUAUAUAUAGCUUCUCUGCAUACGGGGUAGAAAGAGACAGAAUGAGUGCAGAAGCAGAAGCAGAGUACUUCUCCAAAGACUUUGAAUGGGAAACACUAAGACAAGAAAUAGAAGAUAACCCUUCUUAUCAAUACCACUUACUCCCUUUCACUUAUACUCCUCCUUCACAACAAGAAGAAAUUCAAGUAAGUGAAGAUUCAAAAGCAUGGAAAAGAUUCCAUCUUCGCCAUUCCUCUGGCAAAUUCUUCAAGGAGAGAAGGUAUUUGUUGAAGGAAUUCCCUGAGUUGGUUUCUUGUAAAGAGUUUUCGAAGGUUUUGGAAGUUGGCUGUGGCAAUGGCAGUUCUGCUAUUCCUAUCUUACGUGGCAACAAGGACAUUAUUGUAUAUGCUUGUGAUUGUAGCAGUGAGACUCUUGAGAGGGCUAAAGAGAUUGUUCAUUCCACUGAUAUAUUCGCAGUCCAAAAUCGUUUCCACCCAUUCUUCUGUGAUUUUGCUUUUACUGGGUUCCCGAAAUGGUUGGUUUGUGAUUCUUGUGUAGAAAGUUCUUCACUGAAACAGCAAGAAUACUCCUCAGAUGUUAAAGAGGGUGGUGUGGCAGAUAAGAGUGGUUCGUAUGUGUCAAGAGAAUGUGGCUGUUGCAUUGGUGGGGUUGAUAUUGUUAGCUUGAUAUUCACACUAUCAGCGGUGCCACAAAAAAAAAUGUCCUCAGCUAUAAUGGAGUGCUUUUCUGUCCUGAAGCCUGGUGGCCUGCUACUUUUCAGGGAUUAUGGGCUCUAUGAUAUGACUAUGCUGCGGUUUGAGCAAGAAAAGAGAGUGGGGUUCCGUGAGUACAUGCGCUCAGAUGGAACUCGUUCUUAUUUCUUCUGUUUGGAUACGGUCAGGGAUCUUUUUGUGGGUGUAGGCUUCAUUGAGCUUGAGCUUGAGUAUUGUUGUGUCAAGUCUGUGAAUCGCCGUAAAGGGAAGAGCAUGCAGAGGGUGUGGGUUCAUGGGAAGUUCCGAAAGCCCGCAUAAAGUAGCAGUCAAGAUGUCUCUUGUCGAGGUACAACUUUCAAGAGAUAAAACCUUCUUGUUCUCCCACCAUACAUUUCAGGAGCGUUUGGAAACGCGGCUUCUGUGCCAAGGGCAGCUUUGACUUCUGUGGCAAAAGCGAACUGGUGUGUGGAAUGGAUGUCGACUCAAGCUUACUCCUUGAAGCCUCCUCCUUGGAUGUUGCAGUUUCCUACUGCACAGAAGCACCCUUUGGCUAUUUGAAGCUAAAGCUUGAUUGCAUUUCUGGGUUCUUACGUCCAGAAUGUGAUGUUCUUUCCUUUGGGUUUUCUGCCCUCUCUCCAUUAAAUUUUCAAAAAA
Molecule: RNA transcript, 1871 nt
Organism: Populus euphratica (Euphrates poplar)
Lineage: Eukaryota; Viridiplantae; Streptophyta; Magnoliopsida; Malpighiales; Salicaceae
Gene name: Methyltransferase family protein
Exons: 9
Source: RefSeq, a predicted model, not a curated record